ACAAUACAAAUGGUAACUAACAACCCUUAAUAUACAAGAGCCAAUGUAGUGGAGAAAGUGCUCAAUUAUAUCCAUUAUAGACAUUACAUAUUUGGAGCAUAAUGCCUUGCAAGAUAGACUUUGAACGAAUCUCAAAACUACAAAAUCCAUCCCCCACAAUGGACCUAGCUUGUCCGUAGCAUUGGCCAUAUUGGAUGUGUUUAAUUAUAGAUGGGGUAUAUAUUAGGUG
Molecule: long non-coding RNA, 229 nt
Filed under: Phoenix dactylifera (date palm)
Lineage: Eukaryota; Viridiplantae; Streptophyta; Magnoliopsida; Arecales; Arecaceae
Description: long non-coding RNA (PDAC_LNC000678)
Source: RNAcentral